UGGGGAAUAUUGGACAAUGGGCGAAAGCCUGAUCCAGCCAUGCCGCGUGUGUGAAGAUGGUCUUCGGAUUGUAAAGCACUUUAAGCUGGGAGGAAGGGCAGUAAGCGAAUACCUUGCUGUUUUUACGUUACCGACAGAAUAAGCACCGGCUAACUCUGUGCCAGCAGCCGCGGCAAUACAGAGGUUGCAAGCGUUAAUCGGAAUUACUGGGCGUAAAGCGCGCGUAGGUGGUUCGUUAAGUUGAAUGUGAAAGCCCCGGGCUCAACCUGGGAACUACAUCCAAAACUGGCGAGCUAGAGUAGGGCAGAGUGUGAUGGAAUUUCCUGUGUAGCGGUGAAAUGCGUAGAUAUAGGAAGGAACACCAGUGGCGAAGGCGACCUCCUGAGAUCAUACUGACACUGAGGUGCGAAAGCGUGGAGAGCAAACAGG
This 429-nucleotide ribosomal RNA is filed under the name Pseudomonadota bacterium. RNAcentral describes it as "Proteobacteria bacterium partial 16S ribosomal RNA". It matches the Rfam family "Bacterial small subunit ribosomal RNA", at positions 355 to 776 of the family's 1533-position model. The record is from RNAcentral. Lineage: Bacteria; Pseudomonadati; Pseudomonadota.